Molecule: long non-coding RNA, 567 nt
Filed under: Pan troglodytes (chimpanzee)
Lineage: Eukaryota; Metazoa; Chordata; Mammalia; Primates; Hominidae
Description: long non-coding RNA NONPTRT011201
Source: RNAcentral
AUGGAACCACUAUUGUAUAUGUGGUCUGUUGUUGACCAAAACCAUUGUUAUAAGGGACAUGACUGUAUCUUCUUUGGUAAAGUGUCAGUUCAAAUCUUUUGCCCAUUCAUUGUCACAUGGCAGAGGAGCAGAAAAAAUGGAAGAGGCAAAUUUAAUCCCUUAAGCCCUUUUAUAAGGGCACUAAUCCCAUCUAUGAGGGCCUAAUCACUUCCUAAUGACCCACCUCUUAAUACUAUUACAUUGGGAAUUAAGUUUCAACAUGAAUUUUGGAGGGACACAAACAUUUCAACCAUAGCACUUGUCAUGUGGACCUCUCUAACAUGAAACUUGCUUCAUCAAAGUAUGCAAGCUGAGAAGACAAUAGAGACAAUCUGCUUGCAAGAUGGAAGUUACAAUCUUCUGUAAUUUAUUCACCAAAACAACCUCCUGUCACCUUUGCAAUAGUCCAUUGGUUAGUGGCAAAUCAAAGGUUCUGCCCACGCUCAAGGAGAGGAGAGAAGAGCAUGGACACCAGAAGAUAGACUUCAGUGCGGGACCAUGCUAGAGACUGCCUACCAUACCAUCCUU